RNAcentral lists this transfer RNA (76 nucleotides) under Sphingomonas natans. RNAcentral describes it as "tRNA-Ala". It matches the Rfam family "tRNA". From Rfam's summary of the family: Transfer RNA (tRNA) molecules are approximately 80 nucleotides in length. Their secondary structure includes four short double-helical elements and three loops (D, anti-codon, and T loops). Lineage: Bacteria; Pseudomonadati; Pseudomonadota; Alphaproteobacteria; Sphingomonadales; Sphingomonadaceae. The record is from RNAcentral.
GGGGCUGUAGCUCAGAUGGGAGAGCGCUGCAAUCGCACUGCAGAGGUCUGGGGUUCGAUUCCCCACAGCUCCACCA